AUUGAACGCUGGCGGCAUGCCUUACACAUGCAAGUCGAACGGCAGCGCGGGAGCAAUCCUGGCGGCGAGUGGCGAACGGGUGAGUAAUAUAUCGGAACGUGCCCAGUAGUGGGGGAUAGCCCGGCGAAAGCCGGAUUAAUACCGCAUGAGACCUGAGGGUGAAAGCGGGGGAUCGCAAGACCUCGCGCUAUUGGAGCGGCCGAUAUCAGAUUAGCUAGUUGGUGGGGUAAAGGCCUACCAAGGCAACGAUCUGUAGUUGGUCUGAGAGGACGGCCAGCCACACUGGGACUGAGACACGGCCCAGACUCCUACGGGAGGCAGCAGUGGGGAAUUUUGGACAAUGGGCGCAAGCCUGAUCCAGCAAUGCCGCGUGCAGG
This 377-nucleotide ribosomal RNA is filed under the name uncultured bacterium. RNAcentral's name for it is "bacterial SSU rRNA". It matches the Rfam family "Bacterial small subunit ribosomal RNA", at positions 29 to 407 of the family's 1533-position model. The record is from RNAcentral.